This 1554-nucleotide ribosomal RNA is filed under the name Staphylococcus aureus. Its description in RNAcentral is "16S ribosomal RNA". It matches the Rfam family "Bacterial small subunit ribosomal RNA". Lineage: Bacteria; Bacillati; Bacillota; Bacilli; Caryophanales; Staphylococcaceae. The record is from RNAcentral.
UUUAUGGAGAGUUUGAUCCUGGCUCAGGAUGAACGCUGGCGGCGUGCCUAAUACAUGCAAGUCGAGCGAACGGACGAGAAGCUUGCUUCUCUGAUGUUAGCGGCGGACGGGUGAGUAACACGUGGAUAACCUACCUAUAAGACUGGGAUAACUUCGGGAAACCGUAGCUAAUACCGGAUAAUAUUUUGAACCGCAUGGUUCAAAAGUGAAAGACGGUCUUGCUGUCACUUAUAGAUGGAUCCGCGCUGCAUUAGCUAGUUGGUAAGGUAACGGCUUACCAAGGCAACGAUGCAUAGCCGACCUGAGAGGGUGAUCGGCCACACUGGAACUGAGACACGGUCCAGACUCCUACGGGAGGCAGCAGUAGGGAAUCUUCCGCAAUGGGCGAAAGCCUGACGGAGCAACGCCGCGUGAGUGAUGAAGGUCUUCGGAUCGUAAAACUCUGUUAUUAGGGAAGAACAUAUGUGUAAGUAACUGUGCACAUCUUGACGGUACCUAAUCAGAAAGCCACGGCUAACUACGUGCCAGCAGCCGCGGUAAUACGUAGGUGGCAAGCGUUAUCCGGAAUUAUUGGGCGUAAAGCGCGCGUAGGCGGUUUUUUAAGUCUGAUGUGAAAGCCCACGGCUCAACCGUGGAGGGUCAUUGGAAACUGGAAAACUUGAGUGCAGAAGAGGAAAGUGGAAUUCCAUGUGUAGCGGUGAAAUGCGCAGAGAUAUGGAGGAACACCAGUGGCGAAGGCGACUUUCUGGUCUGUAACUGACGCUGAUGUGCGAAAGCGUGGGGAUCAAACAGGAUUAGAUACCCUGGUAGUCCACGCCGUAAACGAUGAGUGCUAAGUGUUAGGGGGUUUCCGCCCCUUAGUGCUGCAGCUAACGCAUUAAGCACUCCGCCUGGGGAGUACGACCGCAAGGUUGAAACUCAAAGGAAUUGACGGGGACCCGCACAAGCGGUGGAGCAUGUGGUUUAAUUCGAAGCAACGCGAAGAACCUUACCAAAUCUUGACAUCCUUUGACAACUCUAGAGAUAGAGCCUUCCCCUUCGGGGGACAAAGUGACAGGUGGUGCAUGGUUGUCGUCAGCUCGUGUCGUGAGAUGUUGGGUUAAGUCCCGCAACGAGCGCAACCCUUAAGCUUAGUUGCCAUCAUUAAGUUGGGCACUCUAAGUUGACUGCCGGUGACAAACCGGAGGAAGGUGGGGAUGACGUCAAAUCAUCAUGCCCCUUAUGAUUUGGGCUACACACGUGUUACAAUGGACAAUACAAAGGGCAGCGAAACCGCGAGGUCAAGCAAAUCCCAUAAAGUUGUUCUCAGUUCGGAUUGUAGUCUGCAACUCGACUACAUGAAGCUGGAAUCGCUAGUAAUCGUAGAUCAGCAUGCUACGGUGAAUACGUUCCCGGGUCUUGUACACACCGCCCGUCACACCACGAGAGUUUGUAACACCCGAAGCCGGUGGAGUAACCUUUUAGGAGCUAGCCGUCGAAGGUGGGACAAAUGAUUGGGGUGAAGUCGUAACAAGGUAGCCGUAUCGGAAGGUGCGGCUGGAUCACCUCCUUUCU